AUGGUUCAGGUGGAAUAACUGUCAUAAUCUACCAACCAAUUUUUGUCAUAAGAGACUAGUUCAUAUCGACCUAUCGUUUAGCAUGAUUGAACAAGCUUGGGAUAUUAGGCCUCAAGAUGAAAAUAAGCAGUUCCAAAAACUGAAGGUUCUCGAUCUUAGUGUUUGUGGAUAUCUAUCAAAGUCCCCAGACUUUUCAUGGUUUCCUUUCUUGGAGCAAUUAAAUCUUGGAUACUGCAGAUCCUU
Molecule: long non-coding RNA, 243 nt
Organism: Telopea speciosissima
Lineage: Eukaryota; Viridiplantae; Streptophyta; Magnoliopsida; Proteales; Proteaceae
Exons: 2
Source: RefSeq, a predicted model, not a curated record